UCAGGCCUAACACAUGCAAGUCGAGCGGAAACGAGUUAUCUGAACCUUCGGGGAACGAUAACGGCGUCGAGCGGCGGACGGGUGAGUAAUGCCUAGGAAAUUGCCCUGAUGUGGGGGAUAACCAUUGGAAACGAUGGCUAAUACCGCAUGAUGCCUACGGGCCAAAGAGGGGGACCUUCGGGCCUCUCGCGUCAGGAUAUGCCUAGGUGGGAUUAGCUAGUUGGUGAGGUAAGGGCUCACCAAGGCGACGAUCCCUAGCUGGUCUGAGAGGAUGAUCAGCCACACUGGAACUGAGACACGGUCCAGACUCCUACGGGAGGCAGCAGUGGGGAAUAUUGCACAAUGGGCGCAAGCCUGAUGCAGCCAUGCCGCGUGUGUGAAGAAGGCCUUCGGGUUGUAAAGCACUUUCAGUCGUGAGGAAGGUAGUGCCGUUAAUAGCGGCAUUACUUGACGUUAGCGACAGAAGAAGCACCGGCUAACUCCGUGCCAGCAGCCGCGGUAAUACGGAGGGUGCGAGCGUUAAUCGGAAUUACUGGGCGUAAAGCGCAUGCAGGUGGUUUGUUAAGUCAGAUGUGAAAGCCCGGGGCUCAACCUCGGAAUAGCAUUUGAAACUGGCAGACUAGAGUAUUGUAGAGGGGGGUAGAAUUUCA
This 650-nucleotide ribosomal RNA is filed under the name uncultured bacterium. RNAcentral's name for it is "bacterial SSU rRNA". It matches the Rfam family "Bacterial small subunit ribosomal RNA", at positions 42 to 671 of the family's 1533-position model. The record is from RNAcentral.